RNAcentral lists this ribosomal RNA (222 nucleotides) under uncultured bacterium. RNAcentral describes it as "partial 16S ribosomal RNA". It matches the Rfam family "Bacterial small subunit ribosomal RNA", at positions 109 to 334 of the family's 1533-position model. The record is from RNAcentral.
AGUAAUGUAUGGGGAUCUGCCUGAUGGCGGGGGAUAACUACUGGAAACGGUAGCUAAUACCGCAUAAUGUCUGCGGACCAAAGCGGGGGACCUCCGGGCCUCGCGCCAUCAGAUGAACCCAUAUGGGAUUAGCUUGUAGGUGAGGUAACGGCUUACCUAGGCGACGAUCCCUAGCUGGUCUGAGAGGAUGAUCAGCCACACUGGGACUGAGACACGGCCCAG